Molecule: long non-coding RNA, 780 nt
Organism: Nerophis ophidion (straightnose pipefish)
Lineage: Eukaryota; Metazoa; Chordata; Actinopteri; Syngnathiformes; Syngnathidae
Exons: 3
Source: RefSeq, a predicted model, not a curated record
UUGUCAUUCUAAUUUGUAAUCCUCGGCUCCUUCUAGUUAGCCAGCAAUGCGCUGAUGUGUAUUUCUGACAACAGAAGGGCGAAAAGUCAGUGUGGCUGGAUCAAAAGAGACGUUGGAGGAAAAACUAAAUAAAGCAAAACGUUGCUUUAUUACAAGAGAACAAGGAGAUGGACUCUGCACAAGGAGAAACGUCACAAGCGGUUUGAAUCCUCGCAUGGAAAAAACCUUCUCCUCUCCGACGACUCCUCUCGGCGUGGAGCCCUGCAGGCACGGCCUUUUUUGUGUCGGCCCAUUUCAGUGCCAGCGAGGAGCGUUACGGCCACGGCGACGGCGGGGAAAAGUGCUUUCCCGAGCUCCCCUGUUGUUCCCCUCUGGAUUCUGGACUGCCUCCCUUUCAUCCUCGACCUCCACUUUGACACGGACCUCUGAUGCCUCGCCGUUCUCCCUGAUGAGCUCCGCCCAUACUUGCCAACCCUCCUGGAUUUUCAGGGAGACUCCCGAAAUUCAGUGCCUCUCCCGAAAACCUCCCGGGACAAAUUUUCUCCCGAAAAUCUCCCAAAAUUCAGGCGGAACUAGAGGCCACGGCAUUUCCAGCUCCAAGCGGACCUGAGUGACAUGUCGACAGUCUGUUUUCACGUCCGCUUUCCCACUGUAUAAAGAGUGAGCCUGCCCAAUGACGUUAUAACUGUAGACUGAUCGAGAGCGAGUUCUUGGUUUCUUAUGUAAGUUUAUUGUUAGGCAGUUUCAUUAAAGUCCUCCCAGCCCGGGAAUAACACACAA